CCUACGGGAGGCAGCAGUAGGGAAUCUUCGGCAAUGGGGGCAACCCUGACCGAGCAACGCCGCGUGAGUGAAGAAGGUUUUCGGAUCGUAAAGCUCUGUUGUAAGAGAAGAACGGAUGUGGGAGUGGAAAAUCCAUGUCGUGACGGUAUCUUACCAGAAGGGGACGGCUAACUACGUGCCAGCAGCCGCGGUAAU
RNAcentral lists this ribosomal RNA (195 nucleotides) under uncultured microorganism. RNAcentral describes it as "partial 16S ribosomal RNA". It matches the Rfam family "Bacterial small subunit ribosomal RNA", at positions 338 to 524 of the family's 1533-position model. The record is from RNAcentral.